UUGCUGUUUAUCUGAAAUUAAUUUGCAUGAAACCUAAAGUUUCACUUCUGGUUUUGGCCUUUGUGCAUCUUCAUCUUUGAGUAUUAGCUAAAACCUAUCGUAUCAUUAAUUUUGAUCUUUAUUUCACGAAAAAUGGUUGAGAAAUGAGAGAGAUAUGAUUGAUGGAAGAUUUGAAAAAUAAUGAAAGAAAAAAAAAACGAAAAUAAGAAGCUAGAGGUUGAAGAAGAUGCUGACAUGGUAUGGAAAAGUCAAACCAAACGCGUUUUUAU
Molecule: long non-coding RNA, 269 nt
Filed under: Lathyrus oleraceus (garden pea)
Lineage: Eukaryota; Viridiplantae; Streptophyta; Magnoliopsida; Fabales; Fabaceae
Description: Pisum sativum (pea) long non-coding RNA (PSAT_LNC027381)
Source: RNAcentral